UACGUAGGGUGCAAGCGUUAAUCGGAAUUACUGGGCGUAAAGCGUGCGCAGGCGGUUUUGUAAGUCUGACGUGAAAUCCCCGGGCUCAACCUGGGAAUUGCGUUGGAGACUGCAAGGCUAGAAUCUGGCAGAGGGGGGUAGAAUUCCACGUGUAGCAGUGAAAUGCGUAGAGAUGUGGAGGAACACCGAUGGCGAAGGCAGCCCCCUGGGUCAAGAUUGACGCUCAGGCACGAAAGCGUGGGGAGCAAACAGG
Molecule: ribosomal RNA, 253 nt
Filed under: uncultured bacterium
Lineage: Bacteria
Description: partial 16S ribosomal RNA
Rfam family: Bacterial small subunit ribosomal RNA
Source: RNAcentral